RNAcentral lists this ribosomal RNA (325 nucleotides) under uncultured eukaryote. RNAcentral describes it as "partial 18S ribosomal RNA". It matches the Rfam family "Eukaryotic small subunit ribosomal RNA", at positions 1470 to 1796 of the family's 1831-position model. The record is from RNAcentral.
CCCUUAGAUGUUCUGGGCCGCACGCGCGCUACACUGAAGGGAUCAAAACGUUUUCCCUCUCCGAGAGGAGCGGGUAACCUUUCGAACCCCCUUCGUGGUAGGGAUCGGGGCUUGCAAUUAUUCCCCGUGAACCAGGAAUUCCCAGUAAGCGUCAGUCAUAAGCUGGCGUUGAUUACGUCCCUGCCCUUUGUACACACCGCCCGUCGCUACUACCGAUUGAACGUUUUAGUGAGGUAUUUGGAUUGGACCUCGGAAGGGUUUUCCCUUCCGUUUGUCCGAGAAGACUCCCAAACUUGAGCGUUUAGAGGAAGUAAAAGUCGUAACA